GGCAGUCUUGUCCAUCCAAGGUGGCUGAGAGCAUUAGGCAGCUAAGCGCUGCAGAUCUCUCAAGGAAAGCUACUCAGUUUAGUAUUGUCCUUUAGAGAUUGGUGUGCACUAUACUGCUGCUGUCUUGUCAUAUGCUGUUUUGUUUGUUAUGCACGUGAGGUGGAAUCCCCUCCCCGAUGCAUGUGAGUGUACACACCGGGCAUAGGUAGAUUGCACCAUUUAGAGUUUAGUGUGAGUGAGGUCUGCAGUGAAAUCACACGGGUGAGUAAUUGGUGGCACCCUUGGGCACUCCUCCCUGUAGGUUGCCUUCUCAAGUGGCCAGUCUCCACCAUUUUGUUUAGAUAAGAUAAGAUAAGAUAACCUUUAUUAGUCCCACACGUGGGAAAUUUGUUUUGUCACAGCAGGAAGUGGACAGUGCAAAAGUUAUGAAGCAAAAAUUAGAAUAAAAUAAGAAUAAAUACAGUACACAGCUGUACAGAAUAGAAUAAAAUACUAUAUACAGUAGAAUAAAAUAGAAUAAAAUAUACAAUGAGAUAAAAAUAGAGUACAAAUGCUAUAUACAAUUGAGUAAAAAUACAACGAUGCCAGAAAAGAUUAUUGCACAUUAGUGUUAUUGCACAUGUGUGGGUUUGUGUGUUUGAUCAGUUAAAGUCUUUAUUGUGGAGUCUGACAGCAGUGGGGAGGAAAGACCUGCGAAAUCUCUCCGUCCCACACCGUGGGUGCCGCAGCCUGCCACUGAAGGAGUUGCUCAGUGCUGUCACAGUCUCAUGCAUGGGGUGGGAGAUGUUGUCCAACAGGGAUGACAGCUUAGCCACCAUUCUGCUGUCACUCACCACCUCCACUGGGUCCAGAGGGCAUCCUAGAACAGAGCUGGCCCUUCUGAUCAGCCUGUUCAGUCUCUUCCUGUCCCCAGCAGAGAUGCUGCCUCCCCAGCAGACCGCACCAUAAAAGAUGGCUGAGGCCACCACAGAGUCAUAGAAGGUCUUCAGGAGUGGGCCCUCCACUCCAAACGACCUGAGUCUCCGCAGCAGGUACAGCCUGCUCUGCCCUUUCCUGUAGAGGGCGUCUGAAUUAUGAGUCCAGUCCAGUUUGUUGUUCAGAUGAACACCAAGGUAGCUGUAGUUAUUCUUUUAUCAUGUUGUGAUUGUUUUUAGGGUAGCAUCGUGGUAGGGAGUCUGGUUGUUUUAAUCAUCG
Molecule: long non-coding RNA, 1194 nt
Organism: Oreochromis aureus
Lineage: Eukaryota; Metazoa; Chordata; Actinopteri; Cichliformes; Cichlidae
Source: Ensembl